UACGGGGGGUGCGAGCGUUGUCCGGAAUCAUUGGGCGUAAAGGGCGCGUAGGUGGCUUGGCAAGCGUGCGGUGAAAGUUCGGGGCUCAACCCCGAAUCGGCCGUGCGAACUGCCAGGCUUGAGCACUGUAGAGGCAGAUGGAAUUCCGGGUGUAGCGGUGGAAUGCGUAGAGAUCCGGAAGAACACCGGUGGCGAAGGCGGUCUGCUGGGCAGUUGCUGACACUGAGGCGCGACAGCGUGGGGAGCAAACAGG
RNAcentral lists this ribosomal RNA (253 nucleotides) under uncultured bacterium. RNAcentral describes it as "partial 16S ribosomal RNA". It matches the Rfam family "Bacterial small subunit ribosomal RNA", at positions 524 to 776 of the family's 1533-position model. The record is from RNAcentral.